RNA transcript from Triticum aestivum (bread wheat), 3333 nucleotides. RefSeq lists it as uncharacterized. NCBI's taxonomy places the organism in Eukaryota, Viridiplantae, Streptophyta, Magnoliopsida, Poales, Poaceae. The transcript has 2 exons. The record is from RefSeq and is a predicted model, not a curated record.
CGCCCCGCGCCGUUCCUCCCGCACGACCUCGCGUCUCUGCGCUGUUCCUCCACAGCCGGCCGCGGGCCGUAGGUCCCCUGUGCCGCCGCCAGAGCCACCCUUCGCCGCAGGCCGCAGGUCGCCGAGCCGCCGCCCCGGAGCCGCCCUUCCCCGCGGCCAGCAGGUCACCGAGCCGCCGCCGCGGAGCCGCCCUUCGACGCGGCCUGCAGGGGGCUCGCCUCGCUGCCCACGUCGUCCUCCUACUCCUCCUCAGUGGUACUCCUCAGUGCGGUGGAGAUAGCGGGCGCCGAGGGCAUGCGGACGGAGGUGGCGCAGAUCCAGGGGGGUAACAACGACGGGCGCCCCACAUCCCCUUCACGUGCCGCUGCCCAAUCCUCCUCUGCCUCCAUUGCCUGCAGUAAGGGAUCCCAAUCAUAUCCGUGGGUCAUCGCAUGGUCCACCGUCGCCGUUCCCUUAGCACUGCGCUUGCACUUCCUCUUGGUCGCCGCAAUCGUUGGGUCAUCGGUUCAUCUGUUCGUGCCUGGAUUGUCGCCGUUCAUCUUUACUCGUGUUUCUCUUUGAUGAUGUCCAGGUGCCGCAGUACCGGCAGCGAAGCUGAAGGCCCCAGUGCGGGAGGAAGCAGGCGGGUGCUCGGUGACAUCGACAACAUCGUCCCUGCCCACGUCCUCGAGGGUUGAAUAGCAAUAUCCAGCUACAGGCGGGGAUCACUCCAAUCACCAGGAGCUUUACCGCUGACCUCUGAAGUAGGCCUAGGCCGAUCCAUCGAAGGUGCGGACGCUCUGCGGUAUACACCACCUACUCUCUUGUCUGUUGGAAUUCGUGGCCUGUCACUCCUGUCCUCACGGUGUAGGCAAGUGGUCAAUUAUCCUGAAAUCUUUGCCCUAUUGUACAGCCCGUUUAAGCAGUCACAGAAGCCUCUUUAUAAAUUACAUUAAUCCCUAACGUUUGAUCAAGAAAAAUUGGUACUGUUGGUGUCCAUCUACCAGCACUGCUCAUGACCAUAUCAUGCAAAUACAGGAGCGAGGGGAACCAACAGGGGUGGUGUCCUGUGUGCAUCUCAUACAGCGUCCUGAAUCCCUGCAGUACACCAGCUUUGCGCUCUACCUAUAAGCUACAUGUGCUUUCAAAUUCGAUCUCCUGUGUGGCUUAAGACUUUGAAAUAAAUAUUGAGUAGAUAAAUCUUCAGUAGUUUUAGUUAUGCUCUCUAUACAAUUAGUAAUUGUUUAGGUGAUAAUUCCGAAUAAUGUUAGUGCUAAAGACUUAUACAUUAUUUUCAACUAGCAGUUUCAGUUCUCCCUUCGCCAAUUGAUACAAAUAAUCUAUGAAUUAUCAACUACUCCCUCCGUCCGAAAAUACUCGUCGGAGGAUUGGAUGUAUCUAGAUGUAUUUUAGUUCUAGAUACAUUCAUUUUUCUGUAUUUCUCCGACAAGUAUUUCCAGACGGAGGGAGUAUUAGGCUAACUAUGCACAUAUUAGAUUCUUUGUUUCAGCUGUCUCCUGCUGCACUGAUAUAAAUUUAUGUUUCAGAUUAUGUAGUCUUCUGCAGGUUAUUAGAUAAACUCUUCCAGAGAUUGAGAUCUAAUCACAACUGCUUUGAGUCAUUUACCUUUUAUUUUGCAAAAUGCAAUCAGAAGUAGUUGUCAUCUCUAAUGUUAAUGAAUAGAUUCUCAGAAAAGGAAAUUAAUUGGAAUUAUCUACUCAGCAUGUCCCAUGACUUCAAAAGGAAGAAUUUGACUAAAUUGAGAUGUUGAUCUGUAGUGUAAAGAUAGACAAAAUCAAAGAUUGGCCUAUUGUCCAGUAACUCCCUUAGUCAACACCCAAGAGCAUAAGUGGGAGCAAAAUCAAUGGUAGCACCAACUAUUGAGCAAAAGCACUUCGUGUUUUCAUGGUACGGUCUGAGCUUAAAAAUUGAAUUGAACAGUGACGGUUAGUGUUAUGCUUAUAAGUUGGUAGCCCCCGGCACUGUCUGUUGUAGAUGGUGCGUAUUAUUACCUCCUUCAAAUUAAAAUGCCGUUCUAAUAAAAAUACAACAUGUUCUGGUCAACUCAGGUGCGUUCCACUGGGUGAUUUUCUUUCUUAAUAAUUUUUUGGUCGUGCUAAAUAACUAUAUGCUUAGGAUCAAGGAUGUACUUGUUAUUGCCAAUGAGUUAUUGCUUUGUAUUUUUACAUGCCGACGGCUGGAAUGUCAUAAUAAUUUCUGCAUGUCUACACAUAGUUUACUCAUCCCACUGGAAAAAGAACCAAGAAUGUUGUGUGCAGAGAUGUCUUGGAGGGACAACACAUGUUUGUUUUCCGUACAUGUCAAUCCACCUUAUUAUAUUAUUAGGACAUGUUACUCAUCUCUAAUAUUGAAUUUUUUUUCUAAUUUAUGUGUAUAUUAUGCAUACAAUGAUGAGCUAUUCUGUUAGGAUAAUUUGAAUUAGGGAGCCUUGCUAAAUAAUGUAUAAAGAUGGUACUGAAGGAGGCUAUGCAACUAGCAAUGUACUCUGUUUAUAAUCUGACCGAUAUUUCUUAAAAGAUGUAUGGUUGUUGUGUUCUCUCAGACAAUAUAAAGCAUAGUUCUAUAUGCUCUGCUAAAUUUGCAACUUUCAAUGCUUUGUGGGGCCUUUCCCAUCAACUCUAGGGAUUUUACCUAAAGGUUCUUCUCUGAUUUUUGUGUGUGUGUGACUCUAGCUAUUUUACUUACUGGACGUCUAUAUCAUGCAUGUUUAGGGCCUUGUCUCUAUAUUUUUCAUGUGAAUCGCAGAGUAAUAUGUGAAUAACAUUUGCAUUGGUGUAAGCUUGCAUGUUUGCUACAGCAGGGCAGAGUUAGUGUAGCAUCAUUAGUUUCUUUUUUGAUAUACUAACAAGUUACCCUGUGUGAAUUCUCAACUGUUUGGAGCCCUGUUUGCGCGCAAGAUUACGAGGAGCGCCCUGUGCAAUUCCUCGACUGUUUGAGACAACGAUCGUCAAAUGGGAGGGCUCCCGGGGGGAGACACGGCGGCCAGGGGCAUCUCCAUUGUUUAUCCGCCGCUUCCCUUCGUCACCAGUGAAUAGCAAUCACAGCACCGCAUCAUUCACUUGCCUACCGUAGAUUGACCGCUAAUGCGGGCGCUCCGCUCCACUACUCCAUCUCAUGCUGUAUAUUUCCUCUCUUUAUAUCUAGAUAAAGUAUAGCAUGUAAAUAUGUCUAAAUUCAGAAAUAACGGUUUCCCUUCUAUCUUCACUUAUAGUGUUUUGGUUAGUAUAAAUGUAACUAAAUUCAGCGGAUGGUGUUAUUUGAAGCCAAAUUAUAGGAUUAUUCCCCUGGUGUUAUUAAUGUAUUUGGAUUAAACUUAUGAACAUGAUUCCUUUA